RNAcentral lists this ribosomal RNA (492 nucleotides) under uncultured bacterium. RNAcentral describes it as "partial 16S ribosomal RNA". It matches the Rfam family "Bacterial small subunit ribosomal RNA", at positions 29 to 507 of the family's 1533-position model. The record is from RNAcentral.
AGUGAACGCUGGCGGUAGGCCUAACACAUGCAAGUCGAACGGCAGCACAGUAAGAGCUUGCUCUUACGGGUGGCGAGUGGCGGACGGGUGAGGAAUACAUCGGAAUCUACUUUUUCGUGGGGGAUAACGUAGGGAAACUUACGCUAAUACCGCAUACGACCUACGGGUGAAAGCAGGGGAUCUUCGGACCUUGCGCGAUUGAAUGAGCCGAUGUCGGAUUAGCUAGUUGGCGGGGUAAAGGCCCACCAAGGCGACGAUCCGUAGCUGGUCUGAGAGGAUGAUCAGCCACACUGGAACUGAGACACGGUCCAGACUCCUACGGGAGGCAGCAGUGGGGAAUAUUUGACAUUGGGCGCAAGCCUGCUCCAGCCAUACCGCGUGGGUGAAGAAGGCCUUCGGGUUGUAAAGCCCUUUUGUUGGGAAAGAAAAGCAGCAGGUUAAUACCCCGCUGUUCUGACGGUACCCAAAGAAUAAGCACCGGCUAACUUCGUG